UACGGGGGGAGCAAGCGUUGUUCGGAUUUCCGGGCGUAAAGGGCGCGUAGGCGGUCAGCACAAGUCAGUUGUGAAAUCUCCGGGCUUAACUCGGAAAGGUCAACUGAUACUGUGCGACUAGAGUGCGGAAGGGGCAACUGGAAUUCUCGGUGUAGCGGUGAAAUGCGUAGAUAUCGAGAGGAACACCUGCGGCGAAGGCGGGUUGCUGGGCCGACACUGACGCUGAUGCGCGAAAGCCAGGGGAGCGAACGGG
This 253-nucleotide ribosomal RNA is filed under the name uncultured bacterium. RNAcentral describes it as "partial 16S ribosomal RNA". It matches the Rfam family "Bacterial small subunit ribosomal RNA", at positions 524 to 776 of the family's 1533-position model. The record is from RNAcentral.